Molecule: long non-coding RNA, 1875 nt
Organism: Aotus nancymaae (Ma's night monkey)
Lineage: Eukaryota; Metazoa; Chordata; Mammalia; Primates; Aotidae
Source: Ensembl
GGAGGGAAAAGAAAGGAAGGAGAAAGAAGAAAAGGGCCAGGCGCGGUGGCUCACGCCUGUAAUCCCAGCACUUUGGAAGGUCGAGGNNNNNNNNNNUGCUAAGGCACCAGCAAAACCGCCACGCCGGCCACAAGAGUCGCCCUGGCGACCUGUGGAGCUCCUCCACUGGGAAUCUCCUGGUCCGUGAGCAACUAAUAUUCGUCUGAAAGUGUGGCGUCCUCUCGUUCUUUGCACUUUCACUGGAAGGUACGUGCCAGAGCUGCUAAUCAUCAGCCAUCUUGGAUCUCUCUGAGGUGGAGAUCUUGCCACUGCACUCCAGCCUGGGCGACAGAGUGAGACUCCAACUCAAAAAAAAAAAAAAAAAAAAAAAAAAAGUGAAGAAGAAAGGAAAGGAAAGGAAGGGGAAAAAAACCAAUAUUAUUCAAGGACCUGCUGUAUACUGCUGUGUGGAUAUAUAUAUGUGUACAUACACACACAUACACACACGCUUAGCAAGGAAAUGCUGCUCAGGAGUAAGGAAGGGAAGGGAGGGGCUAUGGACAUCUUUCUGCAGCUCUGAGAAGCAGCAGACAACUCGCCAUUUUGCCAGACAUCUCCUAGCAGCAAAGAGCCUGGGAUUUUGAGUCAGACGAGGCUGUCUUCUACUCUGCUUUCUACUCCCUGUGGUCUUGGGCAAGUCCUUUGAGCUCUUUGAGAGUGCGUUUCCUCUUGUAAAAAAUGGGUGGGGAUAAUAUCCAUCUCACUGAAUUGUUGAGGAGAUGUUAUGCCACAGUGAGUAUGAUGGCCUAGCAAUGCCUGGCAUACGACGGGCUCCACAAACGGUGCCAUGUCUUGCUAUUGCAAGGAUGGAAUGAAGAGACCUAAGCAAGCGUUCAGUGCCUUCAGCUUUUCCAGAUUCAGAGUGAGCAUGUGGCUUUGUUUUCACAGGUCCAGAGUUAAUUAACAGCAGUGUUAGUGGGUGUAUCCCCAUGUUCAGAUGGUUCUCUGCUUUGAUGGGUACACUUCAGCCACCCGAGGGCAAAAUGAGGUCAUGCUUUGGAAUUGUGAAGAGAAGGCCUCUUUCUCAUUAGCUGUCACACCCUCGAAUAGACUUUGUUUUCCAUUAUUAAGUGACAGCCUUAAUAGCAGACAUCCUUGUCAUGGAUCCUUCUCAAAUUUCAGAAAAGGAGAACACGUCACAGUUCUUAGACCACAUACUCAAGCAAUGUUGAUGAAAUUCGACACAACAGGAGAAGAAAUACUUUCACUGGAUUCUUGGAGGCCCUGACUCAGGAUUGAAUGCUCCCAGAAUCUAAAGUCACCUUCCCAUUCCCUGAUUUCUAUUUGGGGAAUAGAGAACUCCCACAUAUGUGAUCCGGUGGAAAACAAUGGCAGCCUCCCAAAAGGGCCUAGAUCUUCCCUGGUCAGCCCCAGCACAGGCCUGAACAUUCGGGGCCAGCUGAGAACUCUUGCCUAGAGUUUGAAAUUUGAAGUGAAUGACACGAGGAGGUGGAGACGAUUUGGAGGUUGCUCAUCACAGGCAUCGGCGGCUUGCUGACAACACUCUUCUAGGGUGCAGCCUCUACCGGGAUCCCCAGUGCUCAGCCCCUGGGAGCCACAUAGAUGCACCUGUUCCAUGCCUUGCUAUUCAGAUUUCAUUCUCCUGAUAUCUUUCUCCUACCUUCCUUUUUGUUUAAAUAGUUCCCACUGUUUGCAACCAAGAACUCUGACACAAUACAAGCUGACGCGGCUGGGUGUGGUGGCUCACGCCUGUAAUCCAAGCACUUUGGAGGCCAAGGUGGGUGGAUCACCUGAGGUCGGGAGUUCAAGACCAGCCUGACCAACAUGGUGAAGCCCCGUCUUAAAAAAUAAAAAAUAAAAAAAAAUACAAACUGA